This 74-nucleotide transfer RNA is filed under the name bacterium. RNAcentral's name for it is "tRNA-Arg". It matches the Rfam family "tRNA". From Rfam's summary of the family: Transfer RNA (tRNA) molecules are approximately 80 nucleotides in length. Their secondary structure includes four short double-helical elements and three loops (D, anti-codon, and T loops). The record is from RNAcentral.
GCGCCCGUAGCUCAACUGGAUAGAGCGUCUGACUACGAAUCAGAAGGUUGGGGGUUCGAGUCCCUCCGGGCGUA